RNAcentral lists this ribosomal RNA (301 nucleotides) under uncultured bacterium. RNAcentral's name for it is "partial 16S ribosomal RNA". It matches the Rfam family "Bacterial small subunit ribosomal RNA", at positions 509 to 807 of the family's 1533-position model. The record is from RNAcentral.
CAGCCGCCACGGUAACACGUAGGGUGCGAGCGUUAAUCGGAAUUACUGGGCGUAAAGCGUGCGCAGGCGGUUGUGUAAGACAGGUGUGAAAUCCCCGGGCUUAACCUGGGAACUGCGCUUGUGACUGCACAGCUAGAGUAUGGCAGAGGGGGGUGGAAUUCCACGUGUAGCAGUGAAAUGCGUAGAGAUGUGGAGGAACACCGAUGGCGAAGGCAGCCCCCUGGGCCAAUACUGACGCUCAUGCACGAAAGCGUGGGGAGCAAACAGGAUUAGAUACCCCUGUAGUCCCUGUCUCUUAUAC